ACUCAAAGGAAUUGACGGGGGCCCGCACAAGCGGUGGAGCAUGUGGUUCAAUUCGACGCAACGCGAAGAACCUUACCCAGACUUGACAUGUACUGGACUGGUGUGGAAACACAUCUUCCCUUCGGGGCCAGUGCACAGGUGCUGCAUGGCUGUCGUCAGCUCGUGUCGUGAGAUGUUGGGUUAAGUCCCGCAACGAGCGCAACCCUUGUCCUUAGUUGCUAACGAGUCAAGUCGAGCACUCUAAGGAGACUGCCGGUGGCAAACCGGAGGAAGGUGGGGAUGACGUCAAGUCCUCAUGGCCCUUACGUCUGGGGCUACACACGUGCUACAAUGGCCGGUACAAAGGGCUGCGAUACCGCGAGGUGGAGCCAAUCCCAAAAAACCGGUCUCAGUUCGGAUUGCAGUCUGCAACUCGACUGCAUGAAGUCGGAAUCGCUAGUAAUCGCUGAUCAGCAGGCAGCGGUGAAUACGUUCCCGGGCCUUGUACACACCGCCCGU
Molecule: ribosomal RNA, 498 nt
Filed under: uncultured bacterium
Lineage: Bacteria
Description: partial 16S ribosomal RNA
Rfam family: Bacterial small subunit ribosomal RNA
Source: RNAcentral